This 549-nucleotide ribosomal RNA is filed under the name Blaps gibba. RNAcentral's name for it is "partial 16S ribosomal RNA". It matches the Rfam family "Bacterial large subunit ribosomal RNA", at positions 1797 to 2619 of the family's 2925-position model. The record is from RNAcentral. Lineage: Eukaryota; Metazoa; Arthropoda; Insecta; Coleoptera; Tenebrionidae.
CGCCUGUUUUAUCAAAAACAUGGCUUUUUGUAGAUGAUUUAAGGUCUGACCUGCCCAAUGAUUAUAUUUAAAUGGCUGCAGUAUUUUGACUGUACAAAGGUAGCAUAAUCAUUAGUUUCUUAAUUAGAAGCUGGUAUGAAUGGUUUGAUGAGAAGUUGACUGUCUCAAUUUAAUUGAUUUAGAAUUUUAUUUUUAAGUGAAAAAGCUUAAAUUUUUUAGGAAGACGAGAAGACCCUAUAGAGUUUAAUAUAUUUUUAGUUAUUAAUUAUUUGUUUUUAAUAUUUUUAACCUGUUAAUGUAUUUUGUUGGGGUGACGUGAAAAUUAAUUUAACUUUUUUAUAUUUUUACACUGAUUAGUGAAUUUAUGAUCCUUUCUUGGAUUACAAGAUUAAAUUACCUUAGGGAUAACAGCGUAAUUUUUUUUGAAAGUUCUUAUUGAUAAAAAAGUUUGCGACCUCGAUGUUGGAUUAAAAUUAAUUUUUGGUGUAGAAGCUGGAAAAUUAGGUCUGUUCGACCUUUAAAAUUUUACAUGAUCUGAGUUCAGACCGG